CCUUUUGGAGUCUAUAUGGUAUCCAUCGUUACUUCGACUGGCAUCUUCCUUUAUCAGCAGGUUUCACAGCACUGAGGUCUGCUCUAUGACUGUAGCAUCUCCUUUGCUAAAACCUAAAGCAGCAUGACUGUGAUUUAGGGCAAACAAGACUCCAAAAUGUCACUACUGCUGCAGUAUUGAGGUGGUAAAAAAUAUGCCUCACGGAAUCAACCUGGAGACUGAGGAUCAUAUGAAAGACUGGAAACAAGCUCCCUCAGGAAAACCAUCCUCUUUCCAUAGGACAGGAACACACGACUUGUCAGAAGAGCCUAGAUUCACAGUGUAUCAUUCAGUAUCCCAUUUCUGACUACCAAAAGCAUUGGAUACCUCAGAAGAAGAUUUUUUACAGCUUCUCAUUUAGUGUGGAACUGAAGGACAUUUCCAGGACAACUGAAUCUGACAUCGCCAUCAUUUUCCCAAAGACAUUCAUGUGGAUGCCAUUAACAGACAGUAAUUCAAGACUGGAGUACUUGAGUAACCUAGCUGAUCUUGGAAACAGAAAGGGAGG
RNAcentral lists this long non-coding RNA (547 nucleotides) under Calidris pugnax (ruff). Its description in RNAcentral is "lncRNA (ENSCPUG00000017595.1)". Lineage: Eukaryota; Metazoa; Chordata; Aves; Charadriiformes; Scolopacidae. The record is from RNAcentral.